Molecule: long non-coding RNA, 314 nt
Filed under: Chrysolophus pictus (golden pheasant)
Lineage: Eukaryota; Metazoa; Chordata; Aves; Galliformes; Phasianidae
Description: lncRNA (ENSCPIG00010014856.1)
Source: RNAcentral
GGCUUCUGAUCGGAAAUGAGAGCUGGGCUGUGGGACAGAUCAUGCAAUCAUAGAAUAUCCUGAGUUGGAAGGGACCCACAUGGAUCAUGGAGACCACCAACACCAUAGUUGUCAUUAGUUUCAGAAGCAAAGAAUGGAAUCGAGAUUCAGUGAUCUUGUUAGCGAGAGAUGUAGACAAACAGUACUCUUCAAAUGUUAGGAGAGUUUGGAUUCAUCACCUAUCCCACUGCCCUGAGACCGAGAUCAGAAGUGAUUUCAUUCGUGAAGUCUCACUGCCAGAGCUCAUUAGUGAAGUCAUCUUAGCACACAGCUGA